This 1306-nucleotide long non-coding RNA is filed under the name Lepisosteus oculatus (spotted gar). RNAcentral's name for it is "lncRNA (ENSLOCG00000021577.1)". Lineage: Eukaryota; Metazoa; Chordata; Actinopteri; Semionotiformes; Lepisosteidae. The record is from RNAcentral.
CAUUCUGGGAUUGAAACAGCAGUUGCGAAAAAAAAAAACAAUCAGGCAGAAGCAGGGCACUGUUUCCAAAGUACUCCUGAUAGAUUUCAAGCACCUCAGGCUCUCCUCAUUAUUUUUGCUCCCCUGCCUGUGUGGAGAGAGUAGUCACAGCAGUGCUGGUGCCGGUGUGCGUGCUGAUAGUAUCACAUGUUGCAGCCAUGCUCCGAGAGCUGUCUGUGCACCUGUUUGUCGCCAUGGGAACAACCACAGAGCAGACUUUGCACCUUUCACCGCUGGGUGCAAAGAACUGAAAUCUCCAUGCACUGUCCUCAGAAAGAAAAGCAGAGAAGGAGUUUUUGCUGAUCUCUCGGCUUCCUGCCAGAGGGGACUGGAAGGCCAACGCUGGAGACGUCCCCUUCCCCAGCUGCAUGAACUAUGUGACAAGAGGCAACCCAGGGAGCAUGAGGUAGAACAAUAGAGCCUGUCAGAGUUCUUUACAACAUCAGCAUGUGAGUUUGUAUAUGAGCAGCCAGGCACUUACAUAAAGCUCUUUCUGUCAGUGGAUGGGAGGGUAGCCUCACAUGGAGGAGCAUGUGAUUAAAGACCUAAAGUACCGAAGCUGGCAAGCAGUCACUCACAUGUUCCAGGUCAGAUGUGCUGAGUUAUGUUUCACUUUCAUCAAAUGUUGAUCAUUCGUUGGAGAGGCUGCCCCUCCCCCGUGCCUGGGAAAGGAAGAAAACAAAGAAAUCAGCGGGUUGUGGUUUUAGGGAAACAGAUACUAGCAGGCAAAAGCGAUUAGUAUACAAUGCUAACCACCAAAUUGCUGUAGAACGUGCACUUCGAUGAUUUCUCUGCAGGAUGUUAGAAUAUAGUCUCGGGGUUUUCAUAUCAUUUCACUCAAAACUGUUGUUCUGCAAAAACAUAAAAUGGCUUUGUCAAGCUAAAUACCAAGAACUACCAAUCCCCAAAUGCUGACUUAAAGAUUUUUAGUUGUUCCCACGUGAAACGGUUUAGUUUUUUAUAUUGUGUUUUGCACGUUUUGGGGCUGUUUUUUCCCGCAUUGACAAAUGCUGUAGAUUUUUGCACAUUCUGCUUGUGCAAAAUGCUAACAUUUGCAUUACUUUAAAACGUUUUAUUAAGUUGAAACUACAAAAAAAGAUGCAUGUAAUUGUAUAAAGAACUCUGUUUUACAUUUGGUAAGAAGGAAGAAUUAAGUUCAUGCAGUGGGAGAAAAAUACUCCUCUUUUUCCAGGGAACUGAUCUUCUGUGACUCAGCAGCUGAGGUCAUGGCAAGUCAGCCAAGCACCUACUGUAUGACUAAUCUCGC